GUACGCUGGCGGCACGCCUAACACAUGCAAGUCGAACGAAGUAGCAAUACUUAGUGGCAGACGGGUGAGUAACAUGUAGGUAUCUACCCUUUGGCCUGGAAUAACACGAGGAAACUUGUGCUAAUACUGGAUAAGUCUUUACAGAGAAAGCUUUAUGCGCCAUUGGAUGAGCCCGCACUUGAUUAGUUAGUUGGUAGGGUAAAAGCCUACCAAGACUGUGAUCAAUAGCUGAUUUGAGAGGAUGAUCAGCCACAUUGGGACUGAGACACGGCCCAAACUCCUACGGGAGGCAGCAGUAGGGAAUCUUGCACAAUGGGGGAAACCCUGAUGCAGCGAUGCCGCGUGAGUGAAGAAGGCCUUUGGGUUGUAAAGCUCUUUCGUCGGGGAAGAAAAUGACUGUACCCGAAUAAGAAGGUCCGGCUAA
This 424-nucleotide ribosomal RNA is filed under the name uncultured bacterium. RNAcentral describes it as "bacterial SSU rRNA". It matches the Rfam family "Bacterial small subunit ribosomal RNA", at positions 31 to 500 of the family's 1533-position model. The record is from RNAcentral.